CCUACGGGUGGCUGCAGUGAGGAAUAUUGGUCAAUGGGCGCGAGCCUGAACCAGCCAAGUAGCGUGAGGGAUGACUGCCCUACGGGUUGUAAACUUCUUUUAUAAGGGAAUAAAGUGAGGCACGUGUGCCUCUUUGUAUGUACUUUAUGACUAAGGAUCGGCUAACUCCGUGCCAGCAGCCGCGGUAAUACGGCGGAUCCGAGCGUUAUCCGGAUUUAUUGGGUUUAAAGGGAGCGUAGAUGGGUUGUUAAGUCAGUUGUGAAAGUUUGCGGCUCAACCGUAAAAGUGCAAUUGAUACUGGUAGUCUUGAGUACAGUUGAGGUAGGCGGAAUUCGUGGUGUAGCGGUGAAAUGCUUAGAUAUCACGAAGAACUCCGAUUGCGAAGGCAGCUUACUAACCUGCAACUGACAUUGAUGCUCGAAAGUGUGGGUAUCAAACAGGAUUAGAUACCCCAGUAGUC
This 460-nucleotide ribosomal RNA is filed under the name uncultured bacterium. RNAcentral's name for it is "partial 16S ribosomal RNA". It matches the Rfam family "Bacterial small subunit ribosomal RNA", at positions 338 to 795 of the family's 1533-position model. The record is from RNAcentral.